AUUUUACAGAAAGAAGUACGUCAGAAAGGGUAAGGACCAUGCAUGUGUCCCCAGACCUAGUUCUUUGCCUAGGUCUGGUUUUAUAAAUGCUGGUGAUAAAC
RNAcentral lists this small nucleolar RNA (101 nucleotides) under Bos mutus (wild yak). RNAcentral's name for it is "Small nucleolar RNA SNORA72 (ENSBMUG00000023342.1)". It matches the Rfam family "Small nucleolar RNA SNORA72". From Rfam's summary of the family: U72 is a member of the H/ACA class of snoRNAs. The snoRNA gene is located in intron 4 of the ribosomal L30 protein gene in human, mouse and chicken. Lineage: Eukaryota; Metazoa; Chordata; Mammalia; Artiodactyla; Bovidae. The record is from Rfam by way of RNAcentral.